Ruditapes philippinarum (Manila clam) is the source of this 3182-nucleotide RNA transcript. It is a transcript of the gene named putative tyrosinase-like protein tyr-3, with no coding region annotated. Lineage: Eukaryota; Metazoa; Mollusca; Bivalvia; Venerida; Veneridae. The record is from RefSeq and is a predicted model, not a curated record. The transcript is spliced from 10 exons.
CUAUUUUAUAGCUUCAAGAAAACUAUAAAACAAAGACCAUUUGUAUUUUUUCCUCAAUGCCAGAUCAGUACCUGUGUGGUGUAUAACUCUUAAUACUUAACACUUAUUAAACAAAGCCGGAUAAAAGAGAAAUUGAAAAAUUGAUAAGUGGCCAGUCAUGGUUUUCUAUCUUGCACACCUGUUGGUUGCCCUUAUUGUAUGUAAUUACACUCAAGCCUUUCAGUUUACCGUAAAUCUCCCUGAUAGCGCACAGACUAAAAUCGAGGAAUGCAUUCAAAAGUCUAGAAACUCACCGGUAAUACCAUGGCAAGCGGAAAUGGCUUGUGGUCAUGAGUAUUACGCUAAUCUUGGUGCAAAUAAUCUUACAGAAGAAGAUUGGGCAGUGUUCGAAACAGCGACUGAGGAAGGUUUUGGCCACACUCCUCCAUCAUUUGGCAUAAGCGCAAGGCGGGAAAUUCGCACAUUAUCCAAAAAGGAAUGGGAAAUCGUAACAGAUGUUUUCAGAAAAUUAUACGACAAAGGAGUUCUUCAAUCAUUUGGCCGAUUGCACGGAAACGCAAUAUUAAACGUUCACAGGGGAGCUGCGUUUUUACCAUGGCAUCGUGUUUUCCUCGCUCACUUCGAACAAGAGAUGAAGAAGAUUAAUCCUAGCGUAUCCUUGCCAUAUUGGGACUAUACAAUUGACUAUGACAUUCCACAACCUUAUGACACUGUCAUGUGGACUCCAUGCUUCUUUGGAGAUAACAAUGAUACAGUUUCAACAAGUUCUUUCCAAUUUCUGUACGGAGCUCAUGGCGCCGUGAUCGCAAGACACAUUGCGGAAGAUUGCUCCUCAUCAAGAUUUAUAAAUAAAACAGACAUGGACAGGUUAAAAGGAUUUUGUAGAUUUGAGGACAUAACAACGGGUGCUAAUACAACAAAAGAAAAGAUGGUUCACAAUCUUGAACAUCUACACAACGGCGUUCAUAAUUACAUUGGUGGGGAUAUGGGUGUCGUUCAAAAUUCAGCAUACGAUCCAAUAUUUUGGUUUCAUCAUGCAUUUAUUGACUAUAUAUGGGAGUCAUACAGGGAACAUCAGACGGCGAACUGUGGCGACAUAGAUAUUGAGUCCGAUUACCGGAAAGAGAAUGAUACUGGCAGGAAGGGUAUUUUAAAGCAAGGCUACAAUGAUACCUUAUUUGGUUAUCACCACUUGAAGAAUAAAGAUGGACUUUGGCGAAAUUGGACAAAGGUAUUUUUUAACUAUGAGACCCAACCUGCCUGUGGUGGAAAAUGCACGGGAGAGUACCUUUACUGCGAUGACAAAAAACGGUGUUUAUCUCGUACAACAGAUGCAUGUAAGGAAAAAUCGACACGUGAAAAACGCGAAAGCGAAGAAUCACUUGUACCACAAAUUUCGUGUAUGUCUGGAACGAAAUUUAGUGGCCUUAAAGGUGAUGGAAGAACAAUAGACACGUCUAAAGAAGAAAGUGCAGCUAUUUUGAAAAACAUAAGACAAGAUAUUUUGAAAAACAUAAGACAGGAAGAGCCCGAAACGGAAGAGGAUAGAGAUCCUUCACCUGAGAGAUUUGGAUUUGUUGUAAUCGGAAUAUGUGUUGGCGUGGCUUGUACUAUUGCAGUUUUCCUGAUUGUAAGACUAUGGAGAAAUAGAAACAAGUAAACAUUGAAAACAAGAAUACACUCUUUCAUCUUUAAACACUGUUUUAUAUAGAAUACCUUUAAAAACUGUCAUGUGUUAAUUGGAUAUGUUUAUUUAUAUUUGUUCAUUUAAUCCACUUAGGCGAGUUGAAAUAUGUUCGAAUAAAAUGUUGUCUUUUUUCAAUCGGAGCUACCAAUCGUAUAAGUUUCAUUUUGCAUUCUUUUUCUUUGCAAUUCUUUCGAUUGGCUGCUAAGUACUUUUUGUAUUUAAGGUUUUCGUAAUUGUUAAUAGGUGUAUUCAUUAUUAUACAAGAAUUGUCUGUUUUGUUGUUGUGAUAAUAAAUAAUACACAUAUCUAAGUAAGUAAAAAAUUUUAACUGUAUGUAAGUGUGUGAAUAGGAUACCUUAUACACAAGAUUCUAUCACUCCACGUGAUUUUGUCACUAUAGACAAAGAAGGAAAAAACCGGUGUUAAACUGCCAAUAAACACUGGUUAGGGACUACUUGUAUAUGCGGCUUUUAUGUUUUUUUACCCUCGAUUAUAUAGUUUACAAAGCCUUUUAAAGCAACAAUAAAAAGCAUUUUUAUAUAUAUUUUCAGUUCUUAUAAUGUUUUCUUUUCAUACAAUACCCAAAUAAUAUCUCACAUACACUAACGCCACAUAUUUGAUCCAUAUCAGUUAAUAAAUAUUUUGACAAAAUGGCGCCAAUCCGUAAGCAGCGUAAUGACGUCAUCGCAAGUAAACAACUCAUUCAUAAACAAGCUGACGUUAUUUCAUACAUACAAGAAUAAUAAAUGGGGCACUGAUGUAAACACAAUACGACGUUACCCACCUAUCAUCAGCCGAAUAUUCCACUAACGCAAGAAACGUGAAUGUAUUCAGUGAGCUGCGAAAGGAGCGUAGUUUGCAGGGUGUUAAUUACUUUCUUUAUUCACUUCACGAUAUUUUACUUUUGAAUUCAUUUUCAAAAUUUUCAUGAAAAUUAACAUAAAACUGCAUAGAGGAAUGCUGCUUUAAGUAGCUAUAAUCCUAUUAAUGCAACAAAGAUUAAAACUAUUCACAUGAAUACGUUAAUGAACUUCAAUAUAUACAAACGCAUAUUUUUGUCCGCGAGAUUGCGAGUUUUCAUUGUAAGGGCUUAAAUUUAUACAAGGUAUGAAUAUUGAAGCUUGCUUACACCUAUCACAAAUUUGCUUUUGAAUAUCAGGACUACGUUUUGUGUCUAUUUUAUAGUAUGUUUAGUUAAAAUUUGUGACAGUUAUUCAUGGUAUUUACGAUGAUUAUGUACUUCCUUCUAUGCAUUGUGAAGAACUCAUGUCUAUAUACUAGUAUAUAAAAUUUACAUCUAAUUUUUUAUAAAGCCCCUUUUUUGUUUCUUAUGACAUUCUUAUUUUUCACACUUCUCUUGGCAAAGAAGGCCGUUGCGCUUAUGACCUUUAGGACACUACGAUAGCCUGUGAAUAUUAAAUAAUAUCAAUAUUUUUUAAAUAUACGAAAUUUAUAACAAACGUAGUUUUUACAAAUAAAGUGUACAUAUACUUAA